RNAcentral lists this ribosomal RNA (332 nucleotides) under uncultured Sphingomonas sp. RNAcentral's name for it is "bacterial SSU rRNA". It matches the Rfam family "Bacterial small subunit ribosomal RNA", at positions 1 to 359 of the family's 1533-position model. Lineage: Bacteria; Pseudomonadati; Pseudomonadota; Alphaproteobacteria; Sphingomonadales; Sphingomonadaceae. The record is from RNAcentral.
UUCGCCCUUAGAGUUUGAUCCUGGCUCAGAACGAACGCUGGCGGCAUGCCUAACACAUGCAAGUCGAACGAAGGCUUCGGCCUUAGUGGCGCACGGGUGCGUAACGCGUGGGAAUCUGCCCUUAGGUUCGGAAUAACAGCUGGAAACGGCUGCUAAUACCGGAUGAUAUCGCGAGGUCAAAGAUUUAUCGCCUGAGGAUGAGCCCGCGUUGGAUUAGGUAGUUGGUGGGGUAAAGGCCUACCAAGCCGACGAUCCAUAGCUGGUCUGAGAGGAUGAUCAGCCACACUGGGACUGAGACACGGCCCAGACUCCUACGGGAGGCAGCAGAAGGG